Long non-coding RNA from Orbicella faveolata, 609 nucleotides. The record is from RefSeq and is a predicted model, not a curated record. Lineage: Eukaryota; Metazoa; Cnidaria; Anthozoa; Scleractinia; Merulinidae.
GGAAGCUGACCAGUUGGCUAUUGAGAUUACGCGGUCCAGGGGUUGAACUCGCGACAUAAAAGAACAAAUCCAGAUAGCGGUAGGGUGAAGCCCUAAAACAUUCGGCCACUCGGCCUCGCCGCCUCUUACAGAUUUCCAGAUUCUCAAACAUAAACUAACACUGAACGAAAUUUAUACCAAUCGGUAAUAAUAAUUUGAAAAAAGGUUAUAAUGAAACAUAGGAGGAUGUCCAAAGCACUUAAUUUAGUAAAAUCUUAUUCUGAUUGACAGAUAUUGCAAUUGGAGCACCCUUUGAAGACAAUGGUGCUGUUUAUGUUUACCACGGCUCAAAGGAAGGUAUCAACCCCGCUUACAAACAGAAACUCCUAGGUUCCUCGGUGGACUCUGGAUUAAGAUUGUUUGGCUCAGCUGUUGCUGGAGGUCUUGAUAUGGACAGCAAUGGUUACCCAGAUAUCGCAGUUGGUGCAUAUGGGUCAAAUAGAGCAGUUCUGUUUAGGACUCGUUCGAUUGUUAACGUCGAAGGAAGUAUCCAGCUUAGCAGAAAUCAGAUCGUUGUAGAAAGCAAUGACAGCUUGUGUCGUCUAGAAGGACAGUACCAUAAAUGGUAAG